GCUCGAGUGGUGGAAUUGGUAGACACGCCGGACUUAAAAUCCUGUGGCCUUUUUGGCCGUGCGGGUUCAAGUCCCGCCUCGAGUA
This 85-nucleotide transfer RNA is filed under the name Flagellimonas aequoris. RNAcentral's name for it is "Muricauda sp. NH166 tRNA-Leu". It matches the Rfam family "tRNA". From Rfam's summary of the family: Transfer RNA (tRNA) molecules are approximately 80 nucleotides in length. Their secondary structure includes four short double-helical elements and three loops (D, anti-codon, and T loops). The record is from RNAcentral. Lineage: Bacteria; Pseudomonadati; Bacteroidota; Flavobacteriia; Flavobacteriales; Flavobacteriaceae.